AGAAUCAACGCUGGCGGCGUGCCUAACACAUGCAAGUCGCACGAGAAAGGGACUUCGGUCCUGAGUAAAGUGGCGCACGGGUGAGUAACACGUGAAUCAUCUACCUCCGAGUGGGGAAUAACCUAGAGAAAUCUGGGCUAAUACCGCAUAACACUUACGAGUCAAAGCAGCAAUGCGCUUGGAGAGGAGUUCGCGGCAGAUUAGUUAGUUGGCGGGGUAAUGGCCCACCAAGACGAUGAUCUGUAUCCGGCCUGAGAGGGCGCACGGACACACUGGAACUGAAACACGGUCCAGACUCCUACGGGAGGCAGCAGUGGGGAAUUUUGCGCAAUGGGGGAAACCCUGACGCAGCAACGCCGCGUGGAGGAUGAAAUAUCUUGGUAUGUAAACUCCUUUCGAUGGGGAAGAUAAUGACGGUACCCAUAGAAGAAGCCCCGGCUAACUUCGCGCCAGCAGCCGC
RNAcentral lists this ribosomal RNA (460 nucleotides) under uncultured bacterium. RNAcentral describes it as "SSU rRNA". It matches the Rfam family "Bacterial small subunit ribosomal RNA", at positions 26 to 518 of the family's 1533-position model. The record is from RNAcentral.